Molecule: non-coding RNA, 237 nt
Organism: Pelobates cultripes (western spadefoot toad)
Lineage: Eukaryota; Metazoa; Chordata; Amphibia; Anura; Pelobatidae
Source: the annotation of a GenBank genome assembly
GCUGGAAUAAAUUCAAAACAAGAAUUGUUUUUUUUUUUUUUAGGGAAUAAAUCAACUUUAGCAUAAGGAAUAAAAUUCAAACACUUAUCCUAACUAACACUCCGCCAAAGAGAUGAGCCAAGAGCCAGUUCUUGUAUCUAAGCAGGAUCAGGAGAUGGUGAGGAUGCUGCACUGACAAAAGGUUAAAAUAUACACGAUGUCUGAGUUUCAAGAAUCUUUCUCUGCAAUUCAUCGUAU